This 874-nucleotide ribosomal RNA is filed under the name Macrothrix laticornis. RNAcentral's name for it is "eukaryotic LSU rRNA". It matches the Rfam family "Eukaryotic large subunit ribosomal RNA", at positions 666 to 1471 of the family's 3401-position model. Lineage: Eukaryota; Metazoa; Arthropoda; Branchiopoda; Diplostraca; Macrotrichidae. The record is from RNAcentral.
CCAAGGAGUCUAACAUGUGUGCUAGUCGUCGAGUAAUAAACCUCGUCGAGGCAAAAUGAAAGUAAAAGAGCCCUGAAGAAGGUGUCUCAGAUAGGUGAUCCCUGGUAUUUCCAGGGCGCAACCUAUGGGCGUUUGAUUGCUACGAAACAAUAGCUCAAACGAACCCAGAGCCCACACGUUGGGACCCGAAAGAUGGUGACCUAUGCUUGACCAGGUCGAAGCCAGGGGAAACCCUGGUGGAGGACCGCAGCGAUUCUGACGUGCAAAUCGAUCGUCGGAGUUGGGUAUAGGGGCGAAAGACUAAUCGAACCAUCUAGUAGCUGGUUCCCCCCGAAGUUUCCCUCAGGAUAGCUGGUGCUGAUGGACAGAGUUUCAUCCGGUAAAGCGAAUGAUUAGAGGCCUUGGGGUCGAAACGACCUCAACCUAUUCUCAAACUUUCAAUGGGUGAGAAUCGAUGGCUGAUGCCUUAAGUGAGCCAGUCGAAUAAGAAUCACAGUGCCCAGUGGGCCAAUUUUGGUAAGCAGAAGUGGCGCUGUGGGAUGAACCAAACGCGCGGUUAAGGCGCCAAACUGGACGCACAUUUCGGAUCCCACGAAAAGGAGUUGGUUGCUAAAGACAGCAGGACGGUGGCCAUGGAGGUCGGAAUCCGCUCAGGAGUGUGUAACAACUCACCUGCCGAAGCAACUAGCCCUUAAAAUGGGAGGCGCUAUAGCGUCCGGCCUAUACCGAGCCGUUGGGCGUACGAUUUCCUACGCGUGGAUAAUGGAGACCCCGACGAGUAGGGGGGUCGCGACGGUGAGCUUGGAAGGGUACAGGGCGUGGGCCUGCCUGGAGCCGCCGAUCGGUGCAGAUCUUGGUGGUAGUAGCAAAUACU